RNAcentral lists this small nuclear RNA (277 nucleotides) under Pteropus vampyrus (large flying fox). Its description in RNAcentral is "7SK RNA (ENSPVAG00000027760.1)". It matches the Rfam family "7SK RNA". From Rfam's summary of the family: 7SK was discovered as an abundant small nuclear RNA in the mid-70s but a possible function has only recently been suggested. Two independent studies have found that 7SK RNA binds the CDK9/cyclin T complex (known as elongation factor P-TEFb). Lineage: Eukaryota; Metazoa; Chordata; Mammalia; Chiroptera; Pteropodidae. The record is from RNAcentral.
GGAUGUGAGGGCAACCUGGCUAUGACAUCUGUCUCCCCACUGAUCGCCAGGGUUGAUUUGGCUGAUCUAGCUGGUUAGGCAAGUGUCUUCCUCAGGCACCACUCCAGGUGCGUCCCGCCCGAAGCUGCAUGCUCUGUCAAAGAGGACGACCUUCCCCUACCGAUGAGAGGACUGUUCUUCCAUCAAGGGUAUAGGAGUAGUUACGCUCCCCUGCUAGAACCUCCAAAAAGCUCUCAAGAACUGGUAAGAAUUUCCACAUAGAAAUUAGUGGAUGAUU